AUGAGGGACAGCUCCAGCCCCCCUAAAAGCCCCAGGAUCCCCCAAACCGCCCCCCCACUCCCCCAAAAUAUCGGGACCCCCCCAGCCCCCAAAUCCCCACUGGGGGCCCCAGUUUACCCAGUUGGUUCAUCCUGGGCCUCCCCAGUCCACUUCCAGUUCACCCAGUUGCAGCCCAGCACGCCCAGUUCCACUCUGACACUCCCAAACUGGAUCCCAGUAUCCCCCAGUCCACCUCCCGUCCACUCCCAGUCCCCCCAGCUGAGCCCCAGCAACCCCCAGUCAUCCCCCUCCUGCCCCCCCAGGCUUCCCAGUCCCAUCCCAGUCCCCCCAGCUGCUCACCAGUGCCCCCCAGUUAAACCCCAGCAUCCCUCAGUCCCCCCUCCAACCCUACUCCAGACCCCCGGGCUGGAUCCCAGCUCCCCCCGCAUCCCCUCCCAGUCUCUCAAUCCCCUCCCAGUCCCCUCCAGUCCCUUCCCAGUCCCUCACAAUGCGGCCACAGCAUUCCCCAGCCCCCCCCCAAUCCCGUCCCAGUCCCCCCAGCUGGCUCCCAGCUCCCCCACCAUCCCCUCCCAGUCGCCCCCAGUCCCUCCCAGUCCCCCCCCAUCCCAUUCCAGUCCCUCCUGGCUGGAUCCCAGCCCUCCCCCAUCCCCCCAUUCCCCCAUCCCAACCCUCCCAGUCUCCCCAGCUGGGUCUUGGCUUCUUCUCCGUCCUCUCCCAGUCCCUCCCAGCCCCCCCAGUCCCAUCCCAGUCCCCCCAGCUGGGUCCCAGCUCCCUCUCCGUCCCCUCCCAGUCCCCCGAACCGGGUCCCAGCUCUCUCUCCAUCCCCUCCCAACCCCCCCCAAUCCCAUCCCAGUCCCCUGCGACGAGACCCCAGCAUCCCCCACUGCUCCCCCAAACCCUCCCAGUCCCCCCCAGUUGGACCACAGCCUCCCCAACCGGAUCCCAGUUCCCCCCCCCAUCCCCUCCCAGCCAUCCCAGUGCCCCCCAGUCCCUCCCAGUGCCCCCCAGUCCGGCCCCGCCGCCCCCCCCCGCCCUGCAGCACCCGCUGCCGCUCGCAGAAUACUAAUAGGGCAGGCGGGCGGUGCGGCGGGGCCGGCUGUCCGUCUGUCCCUGUCCCCGUGUCCCUCUGUCCCCGUGUCCCGCUGUCCCUGCCCCUCCGGACCCCUCCGGACCCCCCCAGACCCCCCCGGACCCCUCCGGACCCCCUCGGGGGGUAUCGGGGUGUCCCAGCCCGCGGGGAAAGGGAGGAGAGGGGGGGGUUUGGCUGUUGUGGGGUGUUGGGGGUGGGGACCGUGGCGGAUUUGGGGUGUCGGGGUGCUGCUGGGGUGUUGUUGGGGUGUUGUUGGGGUGUCGGGGGGAUGCUGUUGGGGUUUGUAG
This 1377-nucleotide long non-coding RNA is filed under the name Corvus moneduloides (New Caledonian crow). Its description in RNAcentral is "lncRNA (ENSCMUG00000017002.1)". The record is from RNAcentral. Lineage: Eukaryota; Metazoa; Chordata; Aves; Passeriformes; Corvidae.